CCUACGGGGGGCUGCAGUGGGGAAUAUUGGACAAUGGGCGAAAGCCUGAUCCAGCCAUGCCGCGUGUGUGAAGAAGGCCUUCGGGUUGUAAAGCACUUUCAGUGGGGAAGAAAGCCUUGGGGCUAAUACCCUCGAGGAAGGACAUCACCCACAGAAGAAGCACCGGCUAACUCCGUGCCAGCAGCCGCGGUAAUACGGUGGGUGCGAGCGUUAAUCGGAAUUACUGGGCGUAAAGCGCGCGUAGGCGGUCUGAUAAGCCGGUUGUGAAAGCCCCGGGCUCAACCUGGGAACGGCAUCCGGAACUGUCAGGCUAGAGUGCAGGAGAGGAAGGUAGAAUUCCCGGUGUAGCGGUGAAAUGCGUAGAGAUCGGGAGGAAUACCAGUGGCGAAGGCGGCCUUCUGGACUGACACUGACGCUGAGGUGCGAAAGCGUGGGUAGCAAACAGGAUUAGAUACCCGGGUAGUC
RNAcentral lists this ribosomal RNA (465 nucleotides) under Vreelandella stevensii. RNAcentral's name for it is "partial 16S ribosomal RNA". It matches the Rfam family "Bacterial small subunit ribosomal RNA", at positions 338 to 795 of the family's 1533-position model. The record is from RNAcentral. Lineage: Bacteria; Pseudomonadati; Pseudomonadota; Gammaproteobacteria; Oceanospirillales; Halomonadaceae.